RNAcentral lists this long non-coding RNA (365 nucleotides) under Brassica rapa (field mustard). RNAcentral's name for it is "long non-coding RNA (BRAP_LNC007473)". Lineage: Eukaryota; Viridiplantae; Streptophyta; Magnoliopsida; Brassicales; Brassicaceae. The record is from RNAcentral.
CCAUCGAUGCUACGCUGUUGACGUUUCGUGUGGGUUGGUGAUAUGGAGCACGUGAUCAAUAUGAUAAGGUGCCUUAUUCCUCUUUUCUUGUGAUAUAAGUAACCAUUCUAAUCAAAAACCCUAUAUUUAAUUAUAAACCCAGGGUUACGGUCGUUACACUCGUGUUCAUCGUUUUUUGCUUUGCGAUUUACUUUAAUGUUUUGGGGUUUUGUUUGUAAAUUGCAGUCGAGAUGACAGUUGCCGAGGAAUUAUCGCGAAAUAUGAGAGAAAUGAAUCAAGACAGUUUGUGACGGAGAUGAGGGAAACGCUAUUUAGUUUGGGCUAAGCCCAUUAUCAUGAAACGAGAAACUUCAACGAUUCAACGG